GGACUUCGGCAUUGAAGGAGAGAAUUUAAAAAUGUAAGGAACCAACAGGAGCCGAGGAACUUCCCUUACGAUGUGUUUCCAUGUCCAUUCUCUCAUUUAAUUUCUGCUGCUCUCCAAAAACGUGGAAAUGGACAUACAGUCUCAGGACGAAGGGUCCGGGAAAGACUCCUGACUCUGCAGGUGUGCGGGGCCCCUUCACUAACCACGGAAAUGGUACCCUGUUUAUCAGCAAGUCACUUCCACCCUCCCAGCCUCAGUAUCCUUGCCUACAAAACACUCCUAUGAAAACCCUGCCUUAUAGCCCCUGCCGGUGGUUGCGAAUAAGCCUAGAGGUACGUGGACCCUGGAGUCAGGCUGUGGAGUCGGCUCCUCCACUUACUGUUUGUCCAACAUCAGACAAGUGAUUUAACCUCUCUGAUGUCUUGGUUUCCUCACUGGUAAAACACGGAGAGUAUUAAUCCUGCCGGCAGAAGGUUGCUAUAAAAUGCAGAGGCGUUCAUUCAGGUAAAGUUCUUAGUACAGGGCCAGGCCCAGAGUAACUCUGCCAAAAUGUUACCUCCUGUUAUUAUUACUGCUAUUAAAUUAAUGACUCUUACUACCAUUAUUAUUGUUAUUAUCAUGAUCAUAGCAUGUGCAGUUGACUUUAUUGGCUACCAGGCAGCAAGAGCAGAGGUUUCUGAGCCGUCUUUGGAUCAGGGAGUCAGUCUCACACCCAGGUUGGCCCAGAAGAUGUGCGAACGCUGAAUGUAGUAAUCGUUUGACACAAACUUCUGGAAACAGUGCUAGAUUGGGAUGGGGAAGUCUGGACUUUUGUCCCCUUGCUCUACCACUGAUUCUCUGAGAGACGGUGCCCGUCGCCCGCUUGGCUGGAGCCCCUUCUGGCCUGGGUGUAGCUCUCUGGCUCCUUCCACAGCAGGGAACUCUUGAUCCGAGAGCUCUUGCAGGGGUUACGUGAGGCGACAGAACAGGUGCUGAAUAAAUGCUCGUUCCUCCUCUGCACAAGGUGUGUGCACAGCUCAUCGUUUGUGAACUGAGGAAGCGCCAGAUGCGAUGAAUCCCGAAAUCACUUUCCCAUAGAAUAUGCUUGGCUUCUCGAGAAAUCGUCAAGCUCAGACAGUGGAGACAGCUGUGGUUUUCUGAAUGGUGGGAAAUUUGGCCACGGAGGCCGUGGCAGGACAGAUGGGAGAAGGGAGCCAUGAAUUAACAAAGGCAUGAAUGAGCCAUUCAGCUGGAGGGCGUUGGGCACCCGAGGAUCCGGGCUCACUUGUUAACUUUGCCCAAUUCGCCGGUUCCUGUUGGGGUCUUUAUAGGCCAAGCGGAAGACCCAGGGCCUGAGUAACAGCCAGGGGCAUUUUUAAAGUCCAUUGACAAAGAUGAAUGAAACGACACUGGAGGCGUGGCCACAGGGAUGACCAGUGUUCUCAUGGGACUCAGAGAUCAUCAGGGCAGAUGCUCCGUCCAGAAAAACAACACAGAACACCACGCAAAACCACUAGACCUGAAAGGGUGUGUGACUCACCCAGUCACCCUGAGCCCUCACUCAUUCUUCAUCUACAGUUUGCUGAGCCCGUGCUGCACCCCGGCGUGGGCCUGAGGGCUGCUGGUAGAAAGAGGCGCAAAAACGCUCUUCGUGCCUCAGGCGCUGCCAGAAACCAAGAAGCUAAACCAGUGAUUCCAAGUGCAUUUACUGAUCUUCAGCUGUCUCCUCCCGCAGAUCGGAUCCAUGUCAAGUUGGCCACGAGCCACCUCUUUUCUUCCUCAGUGAUUUGCGUGAGGACCAAAUCUGCGGGGUGACAUCAUCGGUCCCCAGUCUUGCCCACUGCCUGCUGGCCUGGGAAGCUGGCCUGCAGGGAUUAGGUCAAAGAAGACAUACGGGGCUCAGCCAGUGGGAGCCCCAGUAGGACUGGGGGAGAGAAAGUCAGAUCCAGUCUUCCACACUGUGUCUGGCGCCAUAAAAACUUUGCAGAGGGAUGCGUGAAAGGAGAGAUGGAUGGAUGGAUGUGGGGAAGUGACCUGAGAUCAUCCUGUCCCACCGGAUGUGCCCAAGGGGAUGCCACUUGGCAGAGCUGGCCUGAGAAACUGCAGUGCUGGGCUUCAGGUCCUGUGGCUUUGCUGGAGGAGGUCAUCGAGAGGACAUGACAGCCGGUUGACCUUCAACCUGAACCAAGGCAACUGGAGGCCCCUGCCCCCCCCCCCUUGGAAUGUCUUUGAAUUGUCUGCUCUGCCCACCGUUCCACAGUGGCAGCUGCUUUUGAGGAUGCAGCCUUGAGAGAGUAUGAUGUAUGCGACUGAACCCGUUCAGGCCUCUCUGUCAACUUUUGGAGACUGUGCUGGGUGGAAGCAGAGGUCCACCCAUCUUGAAGCAGGAGACAAGCCUCUCUGGGAGCUCUCUACUUACACGGCCUGUCAUCUACCCGUCCGGAGUGGCUGCCUCUUUCUUCCUUCUUUCCUUACCCUCCAGGCACGAGGGCCAGUUUGAGAACCAACAGGCUUUGCCACUGUAGCUCAGCCUGACAUCUUUUAGCAAAAGACGGAACACAGCAAGUUUGUAUACAAUGCCAUCUCUGAAUAUGGCAAAUACCAACAGAAAGGGAGAAAAACUACAGUGCCUCGGGGGACCUGAAACUCCGCAGUCCCUGCGCUUGAAACGCAUAAUGAUUUUCAGCAGUGAUUCCACGCAUCCUGGUGGGUAAGCGCUGGUUCUCUUUCCUCUGUAUCAGGUUUUGCCAAUGACCAUGUUGGAGCCAGGGACCAGGGGCCAGCCAGGCAGGAGCCGGUGAUAAUGGGGUUGUGUUUAUUGGUUUACCCUCCAGAUAUAUCAUCUGUGCCACUUAACUUGAUGCCACAGACAACACUGCAUUAACCAACUGUUGGGCAAAUUGCUGGUCAUUCGGUUUGUUGGAAAAGAGCACUGUGCCAGGAGCCCUAACACCUGCCCUCUAGAAUUUGCUCUGCCAUUAAAUGACUCUGGGAAAGUCAUUCACUUUUAGGGUCUCUUCCUCUGGAAGCCAAGGGAGCUGGUAGCCAAGUGUUUCAUCCUCUGUGUUUCAUGAACCUGCUGGGAUUGGGAAACAUAUUUUUGGAGUUGUUGGGUGUUCUGUGAGAAUUUUCAAAUUCUGUGUUUUUAUUUAGAUGAAGGUUGAUGAAAAGCUGAAAGUGAUUCCUCAGCCGUGUAUAUGAAUAAUUCAGGGCCAAUAUCUUCUUAUAAUUUGCCCAGCAUUUGCUUUUGUAUUAACUAUCUCAAGUGAAAGCCUUCGGUAUCAAAGUUUGGCUUCCCUUGUCCCAUUUUUCUUAGCAGUGCGUUUCAGAUUUCAGGUUUGAUAAUCACUGGACUGGAUACACAUCGCUUGCUAAGAUUUGGUGAUUUAUUUUUUUGAAAUAACUGGGAGAGGUUGGUUCCACUUAUUCCCUUAUAUUUUAUUCACUCGUAUGUUUGUCACAUGUUGUCUUGUGUGCCCAUGGUGAACCAGAGACACUACUCUUCCAGCCACUGAGGUUAGUCUCCAUGUGUUUCCGGAAUGUCACAGCUGGCCGGGGACGCACCCAAGGAGUUCCUAGACGUGGGACUAUAAAUUGAAACUGUCUUUAGGCAACCAUACAGUAAAUCCGUCUGGAUAGUUAGUGUCACAUAAACUCUGGCCCACGGAUUCGGAAGCAGCGGAGAUCCGUCUGGGUCUGGGUGAUGGAAGGAUUGCCUCACCGGCCUUCAGAGGUGUCAUGAGGAUGGAGGAGACAUUCUGGGUAAAACGGUGUCGAAAACAAAGAUUUUUUGCUUCCUUGAAGGCAGGGACGACCGCUCCCAACGUUUGUUUUUGCUUCUUA
Sus scrofa (pig) is the source of this 3822-nucleotide non-coding RNA. The record is from RefSeq and is a predicted model, not a curated record. Lineage: Eukaryota; Metazoa; Chordata; Mammalia; Artiodactyla; Suidae.